RNAcentral lists this ribosomal RNA (1017 nucleotides) under Byssosphaeria sp. Its description in RNAcentral is "SSU rRNA". It matches the Rfam family "Eukaryotic small subunit ribosomal RNA", at positions 76 to 1101 of the family's 1831-position model. Lineage: Eukaryota; Fungi; Ascomycota; Dothideomycetes; Pleosporales; Melanommataceae. The record is from RNAcentral.
AUACCGUGAAACUGCGAAUGGCUCAUUAAAUCAGUUAUCGUUUAUUUGAUAGUACCUUACCACUUGGAUAACCGUGGUAAUUCUAGAGCUAAUACAUGCUAAAAACCUCGACUUCGGAAGGGGUGUGUUUAUUAGAUAAAAAACCAAUGCCCUUCGGGGCUCUUUGGUGAUUCAUGAUAACCUAACGGAUCGCAUGGCCUUGCGCCGGCGACGGUUCAUUCAAAUUUCUGCCCUAUCAACUUUCGAUGGUAAGGUAUUGGCUUACCAUGGUUUCAACGGGUAACGGGGAAUUAGGGUUCGAUUCCGGAGAGGGAGCCUGAGAAACGGCUACCACAUCCAAGGAAGGCAGCAGGCGCGCAAAUUACCCAAUCCCGACACGGGGAGGUAGUGACAAUAAAUACUGAUACAGGGCUCUUUUGGGUCUUGUAAUUGGAAUGAGUACAAUUUAAACCCCUUAACGAGGAACAAUUGGAGGGCAAGUCUGGUGCCAGCAGCCGCGGUAAUUCCAGCUCCAAUAGCGUAUAUUAAAGUUGUUGCAGUUAAAAAGCUCGUAGUUGAAACUUGGGUCUGGCUAGCGGGUCCGCCUCACCGCGUGCACUUGUCCGGCUGGACCUUUCCUUCUGGAGAACCUCAUGCCCUUCACUGGGUGUGUUGGGGAACCAGGACUUUUACUUUGAAAAAAUUAGAGUGUUCAAAGCAGGCCUUUGCUCGAAUACGUUAGCAUGGAAUAAUAGAAUAGGACGUGCGGUCCUAUUUUGUUGGUUUCUAGGAUCGCCGUAAUGAUUAAUAGGGAUAGUCGGGGGCAUCAGUAUUCAAUUGUCAGAGGUGAAAUUCUUGGAUUUAUUGAAGACUAACUACUGCGAAAGCAUUUGCCAAGGAUGUUUUCAUUAAUCAGUGAACGAAAGUUAGGGGAUCGAAGACGAUCAGAUACCGUCGUAGUCUUAACCGUAAACUAUGCCGACUAGGGAUCGGGCGAUGUUUCUAUCUUGACUCGCUCGGCACCUUACGAGAAAUCAA